CCGCUCGUGGCUCAGCGAGGCCAGAGCGGCGGGCUGGGAACUCGAGGCGGCCUUCGAGCGGCGGGUGCA
This 69-nucleotide transfer RNA is filed under the name Halostagnicola larsenii XH-48. RNAcentral's name for it is "tRNA-Pro". Lineage: Archaea; Methanobacteriati; Methanobacteriota; Halobacteria; Halobacteriales; Natrialbaceae. The record is from RNAcentral.